AAUAAAUGCAAUAUCACAGAUUUCUAAGGCACUGAAUUUCGCUACGUGAUCCACGUACGUUUGCUUAAACCUUCGGACGACUUCAGAUACUAUGCCGAAAAACAAACAACAGUGAAGUACGCAUCAAAGGACACAUUAUCUCCCCCCCCUUCCUCUUUCGAAUUUAGACGUUAUAAAUUUCAUAUUGUGUCUUAUGUAUCGUACGUUAAAGUGGAACGCUAAAAUCGAAUUAGAAAACCUUGUAUUAUGAAAUGUGUACCGUGGAUCGAAUACUCAACUACAUCUUACAGAAUUCGGUGAAUUAAAAGAAUAAUAAGGAUCGUCAGGAAAAUACCAUUCGUUGGAGUUUAUGUACAAGUGCUCGGAUAUAAUCUUCCUCAUAUCGUCGCAUCUUCGAUUCUGCAUUAUAAUUUUCGACGUGAUUCUGUAAAAAUGAUGAUAAAUAAUCCAUUGAUAAUCGAUAAUCGACAUUAACCAGGUAAUAAUGAUCAUUAUUUCUCUGUAUAUUUUCUAUAUAUGAAAAGAAUUUACUUUAACGGUUCGUCUAUUUUUAUUUUACGCCUUUUUACAUUAAUAAAAAACAGACGAAUACAUACUUUUUUUAUUUUAUCCAAAUUUAUUUUUUAAUUUUACUUAAGCGAAUAUACAAGAGAUCAUUUAGGACGAUUUAUAAAUAUCUUUCUGUUUUCUAAGAAAAAGUUGUCUAAACUUAAUUUUUUUUUCAAUCUUUAAUAUUUCCUUGGCGUUUCGUGUGUUUGCGUUAUAUUUAUUACGAUGAAAAACGAUAUCUAUAUAUUUUGAAAUCAUGGUUGCCUAAUUUAGAAAAUAAGAUAUAUACACUUUUCGCGACUCUUUCUUGAUCAGGAUCGUAUAUUUGGAGUGCGAAUCGAAGCUUCACAUUCUCACGCUUAACAUCUAUAUAAACAACAAUAAAGAAUUUAUAUUAUAACGGUGUCCCGUAAGGACAACGGAAAUUUUAAUGCUAAUAAACCUCUGCACCUUGCUCUAAGGUAAUGAUCAAGUGUUGUAAGAUAUAUAUAUUUAAGAAAAUUUUUUCACAGCUGUAUUAAACAUUCAUUUCUUUGAUAUUUUCUCGAAUUUGAUACAGAAUA
Long non-coding RNA from Formica exsecta, 1112 nucleotides. RefSeq lists it as uncharacterized. The transcript has 3 exons. NCBI's taxonomy places the organism in Eukaryota, Metazoa, Arthropoda, Insecta, Hymenoptera, Formicidae. The record is from RefSeq and is a predicted model, not a curated record.